Molecule: ribosomal RNA, 741 nt
Filed under: Dinophysis acuta
Lineage: Eukaryota; Dinophyceae; Dinophysales; Dinophysaceae
Description: LSU rRNA
Rfam family: Eukaryotic large subunit ribosomal RNA
Source: RNAcentral
CGUACCCGCUGAAUUUAAGCAUAUAAGUAAGCGGAGGACAAGACAUUAAACAGGAUCCCCAUAGUAAUGGCGAGCGAGCCGGGAUAAACUCAGCAUGGAAAUUGGGGCCUGUGGCUUUGACUUGUAAUCUGGUGAGGCAUUGCCAACAGAGGCGCAUAUGUAAGUCUCUUGGAAAAGAGCAUCAACGAAGGUGAGAGUCCUGAUUGUCAUGUGCAGCCCCCCUGUGCACGGUGUGCCUUCUAAGAGUCACGUUCCUUGGGAUUGGAGCGCAAAUUGGGUGGUAACUUUCAUCUGAAGUUAAACAAUGGUUUGGGACCGAUAGGAAACAAGUACCAUGAGGGAAAGGUGAAAAGGACUUUGGAAAGAGAGUUAAAAGUGCCUGAAAUUGCUGAAGGGGAAGCGAAUGGAACCAGUAGUGCUGGGUGAGAUUGUCACAUGCCACAAGGAUUGGUUGCUGCCACAACGCAAGUGUGAUGGCGAUGUGUGAAUUGCUAGUGUGUGGUGUGUCUUACCUAGUGGGUCAUUGUGGGUUUAUGCAUUAAGAUAAGUCAAAGCAAGCGGGAGCAAGUUUACGAGUUUGUGAAUGUGUGUUGUUAUGCUUGUGCGUAAGCUUUAGUGUUUGUCUGGCUGCAGGGCUGUCCAUCCUCAAGCAGGACUUGUGGUUGCGAUGGGCAUAACCUUCUGCACAGAUAUUGACGAAAUGGUUUCAUUCGACCCGUCUUGAAACACGGACCAAGGACC